Molecule: ribosomal RNA, 276 nt
Filed under: Micrococcus sp.
Lineage: Bacteria; Bacillati; Actinomycetota; Actinomycetes; Micrococcales; Micrococcaceae
Description: partial 16S ribosomal RNA
Source: RNAcentral
GUCUGUCGUGAAAGUCCGGGGCUUAACCCCGGAUCUGCGGUGGGUACGGGCASACUAGAGUGCARUAGGGGAGACUGGAAUUCCUGGUGUAGCGGUGGAAUGCGCAKAUAUCAGGAGGAACACCGAUGGCGAAGGCAGGUCUCUGGGCUGUAACUGACGCUGAGGAGCGAAAGCAUGGGGAGCGAACAGGAUUARAUACCCUGGUAGUCCAUGCCGUAAACGUUGGGCACUAGGKGUGGGGACCAUUCCACGGUUUCCGCGCCGCAKCUAACGCAU